This 3497-nucleotide long non-coding RNA is filed under the name Homo sapiens (human). RNAcentral describes it as "HSALNT0027863". Lineage: Eukaryota; Metazoa; Chordata; Mammalia; Primates; Hominidae. The record is from RNAcentral.
UGCAUCCUUGGGUGCUACGAGAACCUUCUCUGGCUUUGCUGGAUGGUGAGUGUGACUCUUCUUGUCCUCACUUGGACUCCAUAAUAACAGUCUUUAACUCGGCUCUGCACUUGGCAAUGGAGGUGAGACCUCUAAAAGUUGCCGCGCGGGUCUGCACACAGCCUCAAGGCUUUUCGGAAUUGUGAGUGACUUGAGGCUGUGUGUGAUCAAAUGGCUUUUAUUCUCACGCAUUGCUUCAUUUCCUAUAGGAGCCGGGCAUGGUAAUGUUCUUGAGAAUGGCAAAGGAAUGAAAACACGAGGUGACCUUCAGCAAAUCCCUCUCUUCUCUUUCAACCCAGGUCUUUCAAGCCAGAGUCACAGUUUGGAGAAUAAAUUAUAUGGUCACCCUAUCCAGGAGGGUUGAACGCUGCAGAUGCUAUCUGGAAACCAAGACUGUCAAUGUCACAGCUUGUCAGGCCUCACACAAUUGCUAUUUGGAAACCAUCUAUGGACAAGAGAAAGUGUGCGCACAGAGAAGGAAUGCAAGAGGGUGAUCAUGUGGAACCCGGAUGGGAUGCUCAGCUGGCGACAGAAGGCUUGAAGACAAGCAAUUAGAGUCCCGUUACAGAGUCCUGCUCCUGCAGGGAUGGCCCUUCUGAAGAUGGGAUUAGUGGUGCAAUGUAAGAGGCUAAGAGAAGACCCACAGUGACACUCCAGUCUCCUCUUCUCCAGGAAUGAAUACGUGUGUGAGAACACUCAUCAGCCAUUCUUACCCUGGAGGAUUUGAAGAAAGAGCCCAGACAGGAGGCCUUGAGGAUGGGCAAAAACUCUCUGAAUCCCGAAUCCACCACCUGCCAGCUGCUCAGCCCCAGGAACGUUACUUCACACCAUGGGACUUGGUGGGACCUGGAGACCUCCCUUUCCAAACCCUCUCUCUCUUUCAUUGACCAUCCCCUCAGAUGGGCUUGCUGAUGGCCCUCCUUGGUGGUCUCUUUGUUCUCUGACUGUGGGAGCCACUUGCUCAGCACCUGGUCACCUCACCUGCUCCCCAGAGCCCUUCCACAUGUCACUGUGUCACCCUUCAGGGGACACAGCCUUGAGGGCAGGGCAAGGACUUCUCCCGGCCCAUUUCAGAGCUCUGCUUCCUCUUGGCCUUCCCUCAAAGACCCUGACUUUAUCUGGGGGUACAUUUAGCUCUCAGUCCCUCGGUCACUGAGCCUUGGGGAAGCGUGGGUCCUCAGCUCUCUACGGACUCCUCCAGGGCUCCAGGGAGCUGCUGCUCUAGAACCAAUUAUCCAUAAGCCGUUCAUCCUAUCUCCUGACACACGUGCUGCGCAUGUUCCCAGUGACUCUCUCACUACCUGGGGCCACAGGUGAGUCAACCAAAGCCCAGAGAGUCACACAGAGGACGGAGGCCCAAUGAGGACCAAAGCCCCCGUCUCCUGAUUCCUCAUUUAGGCUGUGUCUCUUGAACCUGCCGUUGUCUCCCUGACCACAAAAAAGCACCAUUUCACAGAAGCUCUCAGAAUUAACAUGCUUUUCUUCAAAGAAAGUUAAAUGAGGACAAUGAUGCCUUGCCCACUCCCUCCCAGAGGUGUUUGGAGACUCUACUGAGAUAAUAUGUAUGACAGUUCUUUGAAAAGCAUAAAGUGCAGUAGAAACAUGAGAUUCAAUUAUAGCCAAAUCUCUGCUGAGUCACGUGGCAGCUCCAGCAUGUUUUUUUAAAAAAAAUUUAACCUGCAGGAGAAAAUGAAGCAGAGCCUUCCUGACAGAGGAUGCUAACACCUUGAGCAUGAGGAAAUCCUUCCAUGCAGGGCCAGCUCCAAGCUAAACAGGGGAGAAUUGUUUGGGAGGGGUUCUCGUUUCCUCCUUCCUACCCCCUCCCUCAUGCAGAGCAUUCAACAGGCGCUAAUUUCACUUUAUAAAUGGAAACUGAAUCACCGCAUUCCAGGCUGGAAAAUGAUUGGAAAUGAGAGUACGUCCGAGGUCAAGCCCUCGCCACUUCCUCCCUGGAUAGGAAGUGGGCGCUCCAAAUGGUUCUUGCAGGGCCCCUCAUGAUAAAAGGCCUGCUUUGGCCCUGGGCUGGGAGAGCUCUAUGCUGUUUUCAAACCUCACUUUAAAGGAGAGAGAGGAAAAAGAAAAACCCGGAUGUCCCUCUUUAAACAGGGAUGUCAGCUCAGGAAGGAGGGGCCGUGCAGCUGCCUUUCUAUGGGGGCUGUCAACAGCAUAAGAAUUGUUUAAAAUCUGUUAUAAACACAGGCAUAGAGUGAUGGUGAGUUGGGGAGUGGUGCACCCCCUCUCAACCUCUGCAUAGGGCCUCUCAGGGCUAUCUGAGCCCUGCUCACACAACUAGCCAUUCCCCUGUUGUGAAGACACCAAGGAGACUCGGGCUUCUGGUGGACAUAUCUAAGUAUGGUGUAGAGGUCACCAGAGAUGAAAUGUGACCAUGUGCCUGCCUGUGGUCCCGUCUUGGGAGCAGAGGCAGGGCUGGAGUUGGGAAAUGGAGCUGUGCUUGCUGGUCUGCAUGGGGUGGGACCUCUCAAGAAUAAGGACUGGUCAUUUGCCUCAGGCUCCUUAGCUCCUGGCUCCAGGCUGGAUGCAGAGCAGCACCAGCAAUGCCGCUAAGCAGAAUGUGAGGUUAAAGAGCAGCAUUAGUUGGCCCCUCUGGUCUACAAAGUGAAUCAGAAACAGAAGCCAUCACCAUGGGAGAAGAAUUUGUAUCACAAGGCACUCUCUGCCCAGCUUAUUUCCAGGAGGGUAACUCGAUGGAACCCAAACCCCAGGAGACUGGGAAACAAGCAGGUGUGGGUGAUCUGGAGAGAGGGAAGCAUGGAGUGUGCUGGAAAAGGCAGAGGCCAAACAAACCUGGGUUCAGUUGUGAGGCUCCAUGCGUAUUAGGUGUGGGAUCUCAGAUCAGGUUACUCAACCGCUUGGGGUCUCUUCCAAUUUAUAGUCCACUUCAACACCUAUAAAUUUGGCAUAAUAAUACCAAACUUUUAGAGGUACUGCUAUGAUUAGAGAUCACGUCUGGAAAUGCAAACCCAUGUUGGCUUGGAAGGUUGAAUUUGUUUCUUAAAAUAUCUGUUGCCCAAACAUAAAGAUCAAUCGGCCUCUGUCCUUGAGAAGGCUAGAUCUUAAAAAGAAAAAGAUAGCCAAGACAAAGAUAUUUUUCUCUCAUUGUAAAAGCACAGCAUACAUCUUAUAAAGCACUAGAAAGUCCACCGAAGAAUGAAUAAGCAGAAAAACCAAUCACAAAGCAGACCACUGUUAAUGUGUUGGUGUUUUUUUAGUUCUCUCUCUCUCUCUCUCUUUUUUUUUAAGUGGUUGGUCAGACACAGUGGCUUACACCUGUAAUCCCAGCAUUUUGGGAGGCCGAAGUGGGCAGAUUGCUUAAGCCCAGGAGUUUGAGACCAGCCUGGGCAACAUGGCGAAACCCCAUCUCUACAAGAAAUAAAAAAAAAUUAGCCAGGCAUGGCGGCACAGCUACUUGGGAGGGUGAGGUGGGAGAAUCACCUGAG